RNAcentral lists this ribosomal RNA (1253 nucleotides) under human gut metagenome. RNAcentral describes it as "bacterial LSU rRNA". It matches the Rfam family "Bacterial large subunit ribosomal RNA", at positions 1038 to 2317 of the family's 2925-position model. The record is from RNAcentral.
GCUAAGGUCCCAAAGUACGUGUUAAGUGGAAAAGGAUGUGGGAUUUCGAAGACAACUAGGAUGUUGGCUCAGAAGCAGCCACACAUUCAAAGAGUGCGUAAUAGCUCACUAGUCGAGAGGUCCUGCGCCGAAAAUGUCCGGGGCUGAAACACGACACCGAAGCUUAGGAAUCACAUAGUGAUUGGUAGAGGAGCAUUCUUAAAACCGACGAAGCUGUACCGGAAGGAGCAGUGGAGGGAUAAGAAGAGAGAAUGCCGGAAUGAGUAGCGAGAGAGAGGUGGGAAUCCUCUCGGCCGAAUAUCCAAGGUUUCCAGGGUAAAGCUGAUCUGCCCUGGGUAAGUCGGGGCCUAAGGAGAGGCAGAAAUGCGUAUCCGAUGGACAGCAGGUUGAGAUUCCUGCACUAUCUUAAAACAGAACUGUGGGGACAUUUGUGGAGAGCACAGGCGCGGAACGGAAAGCCGCGUGCAAGCGAAGGAGGAGUCACAUAGGAAAAACCGUGUGGCAAUCCAAAGGCGUGAUGCGGACCGAACUAAAGUAGGGAAGUGUGUGAGCCAUGAAUCAAGAAAAGCCGCUAUUGUUUUUAAGAUACCCGUACCGUAAACCGACACAGGUGGAUGAGGAGAGAAUCCUAAGGCCGGCGGAAGAAGCAUUGUUAAGGAACUCGGCAAAAUGACCCCGUAACUUCGGGAGAAGGGGUGCCACAGAAAUGUGGCCGCAGAGAAUAGGCUCAAGCAACUGUUUAGCAAAAACACAGGUCUAUGCAAAACCGAAAGGUGAGGUAUAUGGGCUGACGCCUGCCCGGUGCUGGAAGGUUAAGAGGAGAGGUUAGCGCAAGCGAAGCUUUGAAUUUAAGCCCCAGUAAACGGCGGCCGUAACUAUAACGGUCCUAAGGUAGCGAAAUUCCUUGUCGGGUAAGUUCCGACCCGCACGAAAGGCGUAAUGAUUUGAGCGCUGUCUCGACAAUGCAUCCGGUGAAAUUGAAGUACCAGUGAAGAUGCUGGUUACCCGCGCCAGGACGGAAAGACCCCAUGGAGCUUUACUCCAGUUUGGUACUGGGGUCCGGCAGUGCAUGUACAGGAUAGGUGGGAGGCUGUGAACCUGGAACGCCAGUUUCAGGGGAGCCAUUGUUGGGAUACCACCCUUGUGCUGCUGGGCUUCUAACCAGCGGCCUUUAUCAGGCCGGGGGACAAUGCCAGACGGGGAGUUUGACUGGGGCGGUCGCCUCCGAAAGGGUAUCGGAGGCGCUCAAAGGU